Molecule: ribosomal RNA, 729 nt
Filed under: Triticum aestivum (bread wheat)
Lineage: Eukaryota; Viridiplantae; Streptophyta; Magnoliopsida; Poales; Poaceae
Description: partial small subunit ribosomal RNA
Source: RNAcentral
GGCGGUCACUGCAAGGUGGCCUGGCGCAGGAUUUGCAGACCUAAACAGCUCGGAGGUCUUGGCAUUCUCGACCUGUGGAUGUUUGGCGCCGCAUUGCGGCUACGGUGGCUCUGGCUCGAGAGGACAGCCCCCGAACAACCAUGGGUUAGACUCCCAACGCCAUGCUCCAUGACAGACCGCUUGAUGUUCACAACUGCGACUCGCUGCCGUCUUGGCAGUGGGAAGAGGGCCUGUUUUUGGCUGGAUGCAUGGUUGGAUGGGCAAGCUCCUUGUCUCAUCGGCCCCGACAUCUUCAACGUCGUUUCCAACAAGCGCCGGGCGGUGGCGUCCGCCCUGGCCGACAGCAGAUGGGUUCGGGACCUGCAAGGCCGCAUCACGAUUGACACCCUUCCCUCCUUCUUCGCACUUUGGGUCAAGGUCGCGGCUUUAGCGCCUCUAACCACUGAUGUGGUCGACUCCUUCGAAUGCCACUUCUCUGCAAAUGGAUGCUACUCCGCGGCUUCGGCGUACAGGCUGCAGUUCGUUGGCUCCAUGUCAUAUGGUUCGAUGACGACGAUUUGGAGAGCUUGGGCGCCGGCCAAGCACAAGUUUUCUGCCUGGCUACUUGCCCAAAAUAGGAUCAUGACAGCUGACAGGCUAACGGCAAGGCAAUGGCCCAAUUCUUAUUUCUGCCCAAUAUGCUGGCGGAACCUUGAGACGGCGGAGCACCUCAUGAGGUUAGGCGAGUGA